AUCAUGACGGACUAAACCGACAGGCGCCAGGGAAGGGGGUGUGAAUCCCCCGCAGCCCCCGCUGCUGUGAUGCUGACGAACCCAUAUUUAGCCACUGAUCUGUUUACCGGAUUGGGAAGGAUGGGGAAGGACGACGCUAAGCCAGAAGACCUGCCUGUCGGUAAUAAUCAACA
This 173-nucleotide non-coding RNA is filed under the name Klebsiella quasipneumoniae subsp. quasipneumoniae. Lineage: Bacteria; Pseudomonadati; Pseudomonadota; Gammaproteobacteria; Enterobacterales; Enterobacteriaceae. The record is from RNAcentral.